GCGCAACCCUUAUCCUUUGUUGCCAGCGGUUAGGCCGGGAACUCAAAGGAGACUGCCAGUGAUAAACUGGAGGAAGGUGGGGAUGACGUCAAGUCAUCAUGGCCCUUACGACCAGGGCUACACACGUGCUACAAUGGCGCAUACAAAGAGAAGCGACCUCGCGAGAGCAAGCGGACCUCAUAAAGUGCGUCGUAGUCCGGAUUGGAGUCUGCAACUCGACUCCAUGAAGUCGGAAUCGCUAGUAAUCGUGGAUCAGAAUGCCACGGUGAAUACGUUCCCGGGCCUUGUACACACCGCCCGUCACACCAUGGGAGUGGGUUGCAAAAGAAGUAGGUAGCUUAACCUUCGGGAGGGCGCUUACCACUUUGUGAUUCAUGACUGGGGUGAAGUCGUAACAAGGUAACCGUAGGGGAACCUGCGGUUGGA
This 426-nucleotide ribosomal RNA is filed under the name Salmonella enterica subsp. enterica serovar Enteritidis. Its description in RNAcentral is "bacterial SSU rRNA". It matches the Rfam family "Bacterial small subunit ribosomal RNA", at positions 1096 to 1522 of the family's 1533-position model. The record is from RNAcentral. Lineage: Bacteria; Pseudomonadati; Pseudomonadota; Gammaproteobacteria; Enterobacterales; Enterobacteriaceae.